UCGGCCCUCGGCUGACGGCUCAGUAACACGUGGACAAUCUGCCCUAGGGUGGAGGAUAAUCUCGGGAAACUGAGGACAAUACUCCAUAGGUCUAGAAUGCUGGAAUGCAUUUAGGCUUAAAGCUCCGGCGCCCUAGGAUGAGUCUGCGGACUAUCAGGUUGUAGUCAGGGUAAUGACCUGACUAGCCUACGACGGAUACGGGUUGUGAGAGCAAUAACCCGGAGACGAUAUCUGAGACACGAUAUCGGGCCCUACGGGGCGCAGCAGGCGCGAAAACUUCACACUGUGCGAAAGCACGAUGAGGGAAUCCCAAGUGCCAGCACGUUAGUGUUGGCUGUUUCUCUGUCUAGAGAACAGAGAGAGUAAGAGCUGGGUAAGACGGGUGCCAGCCGCCGCGGUAAUACCUGCAGCUCAAGUGGUGGCCGCUAUUAUUGGGCCUAAAACGUCCGUAGCCGGUCUAUUAAAUGCCUGGGUAAAUCGUGUAGCUUAACUAUACGAAUUCCGGGUAGACUGUUCAACUUGGGACCGGGAGAGGCUAGAGGUACUCCUGGGGUAGAGGUGAAAUUCUGUAAUCCUAGGGGGACCACCAGUGGCGAAGGCGUCUAGCUAGAACGGGUCUGACGGUGAGGGACGAAGCCCUGGGGAGCAAACGGGAUUAGAUACCCGGGUAGUCCCAGCCGUAAACGAUGCAUGCUAGGUGGUUGGGGUUGGCCACAAGCCACCCCAGUGCCGCAGGGAAGCCGUUAAGCAUGCCGCCUGGGAAGUACGAUCGCAAGAUUGAAACUUAA
This 788-nucleotide ribosomal RNA is filed under the name uncultured euryarchaeote. RNAcentral describes it as "bacterial SSU rRNA". It matches the Rfam family "Archaeal small subunit ribosomal RNA", at positions 71 to 859 of the family's 1478-position model. The record is from RNAcentral. Lineage: Archaea; Methanobacteriati; Methanobacteriota.